RNAcentral lists this ribosomal RNA (651 nucleotides) under Triticum aestivum (bread wheat). Its description in RNAcentral is "partial small subunit ribosomal RNA". Lineage: Eukaryota; Viridiplantae; Streptophyta; Magnoliopsida; Poales; Poaceae. The record is from RNAcentral.
AUGGGCUUGCCUGCAACUGCAAGCACCGGCAGUGCGCAGCUCAUCCUCCUCCUCCUCUUCCUCCUCGCUUCCUUGCACCUCUCUGGAGCUAUAUAUACCGCUCCAGCUCCAGCCGCAGUCGCCUCACCCUUCUCCUUCAGCUUCGACUUCACCAACGCAUCCAGCUACCGCCUAGAUAACCUCAAACUCGAGGGCGACGCCGCCAUACCUUUGGGCCGCGGCAUGGUCGAUGUCACCUGCAACUCAUGGGGAAAGGACCCCACAAGUUGCAAGGGACGGGUGUCGUACGGCCACCCGGUGCCGUUCUACGACGCCACCACCGGCGAGGUGGCCAGCUUCCAAACGCGCUUCACAUUCACCAUCAAUACCACCAAGAACAAGGGCGAUGGCAUGGCCUUCUUUCUCGCAUAUUACCCGUCGGAAUUGCCGCCCAACUCAACUGGCGGCCACCUCGGCCUCAUCUCCCAAGGCGACCAGGAGAGGGGGGCCGCAUUGGGUAACCAGCAGUUCGUCGCCGUGCCGUGGAGUUUGACACCCACAACAACGGGUGGGACCCCCCAAACACCGCCGCCGACCACAUCGGGAUUGACAUCAACUCUGUUCGCUCGGAGAACACGAGCUUUCCCCGCUUCAGCCUCAACGGCUCCAUGA